AUUGAACGCUGGCGGCAUGCCUUACACAUGCAAGUCGAACGGCAGCACGGGAGCUUGCUCCUGGUGGCGAGUGGCGAACGGGUGAGUAAUACAUCGGAACGUACCCUGAAGUGGGGGAUAACGUAGCGAAAGUUACGCUAAUACCGCAUAUUCUGUGAGCAGGAAAGAGGGGGAUCGCAAGACCUCUUGCUUUAGGAGCGGCCGAUGUCGGAUUAGCUAGUUGGUGAGGUAAAGGCUCACCAAGGCGACGAUCCGUAGCGGGUCUGAGAGGAUGAUCCGCCACACUGGGACUGAGACACGGCCCAGACUCCUACGGGAGGCAGCAGUGGGGAAUUUUGGACAAUGGGCGCAAGCCUGAUCCAGCCAUGCCGCGUGAGUGAAAAAGGCCUCGGUUGUAAG
Molecule: ribosomal RNA, 399 nt
Filed under: uncultured bacterium
Lineage: Bacteria
Description: bacterial SSU rRNA
Rfam family: Bacterial small subunit ribosomal RNA
Source: RNAcentral